This 390-nucleotide ribosomal RNA is filed under the name uncultured bacterium. RNAcentral describes it as "bacterial SSU rRNA". It matches the Rfam family "Bacterial small subunit ribosomal RNA", at positions 28 to 419 of the family's 1533-position model. The record is from RNAcentral.
GACGAACGCUGGCGGCGUGCUUAACACAUGCAAGUCGAGCGGUAAGGCCCUUUCGGGGGUACGACGAGCGGCGAACGGGUGAGUAACACGUGGGUGACCUGCCCUCAGCUCUGGGAUAAGCCUGGGAAACUGGGUCUAAUACUGGAUAUGACUCCACGGUGCAUGUCGUGGGGUGGAAAGCCUUGUGCGGCUGAGGAUGGGCCCGCGGCCUAUCAGCUUGUUGGUGGGGGAUGGCCUACCAAGGCGACGACGGGUAGCCGGCCUGAGGGGGCGACCGGCCACACUGGGACUGAGACACGGCCCAGACUCCUACGGGAGGCAGCAGUGGGGAAUCUUGCGCAAUGGGCGAAAGCCUGACGCAGCGACGCCGCGUGAGGGAUGACGGCCUGG